UACAUGGGGUGCAAACGUUGCUCGGAAUUAUUGGGCGUAAAGCGCACGUAGGCGGUUCGUUAAGUCGGAUGUGAAAGCCCUCGGCUCAACUGAGGAAGUGCACCCGAAACUGGCGAGCUUGAGUACGAAAGAGGAUCGCGGAAUUCCCGGUGUAGAGGUGAAAUUCGUAGAUAUUGGGAGGAACACCGGUGGCGAAGGCGGCGAUCUGGGUCGAUACU
Molecule: ribosomal RNA, 218 nt
Filed under: uncultured bacterium
Lineage: Bacteria
Description: partial 16S ribosomal RNA
Rfam family: Bacterial small subunit ribosomal RNA
Source: RNAcentral